GGGUGACCAACUGUCUUGGUUUGCCCGGGACUGAGGAGUUACCCAGGACAUAGGACUUUCAGUGCUA
This 67-nucleotide microRNA precursor is filed under the name Chlorocebus sabaeus (green monkey). RNAcentral describes it as "miRNA (ENSCSAG00000021694.1)". Lineage: Eukaryota; Metazoa; Chordata; Mammalia; Primates; Cercopithecidae. The record is from RNAcentral.